RNAcentral lists this small nuclear RNA (174 nucleotides) under Triticum aestivum (bread wheat). RNAcentral describes it as "snRNA U2". It matches the Rfam family "U2 spliceosomal RNA". Rfam says of the family: U2 is a small nuclear RNA (snRNA) component of the spliceosome (involved in pre-mRNA splicing). Complementary binding between U2 snRNA (in an area lying towards the 5' end but 3' to hairpin I) and the branchpoint sequence (BPS) of the intron results the bulging out of an unpaired adenosine, on the BPS, which initiates a nucleophilic attack at the intronic 5' splice site, thus starting the first of two transesterification reactions that mediate splicing. Lineage: Eukaryota; Viridiplantae; Streptophyta; Magnoliopsida; Poales; Poaceae. The record is from Rfam by way of RNAcentral.
AUAUCUUUCUCGGCCUCUUGACUAUAUCCGUUCAUAUCAGUUUAAUAUCUGAUACAAGGAUCUACGGAUCCAUGAGAUAUUAAUUUAAUUUUUUAUGGGAAGGUUUCGGCUUUGUUGUCGAGCCCUUGAGUGUUGCUUGGGCAUUGCACUGAAGCCUUGGUUGACGCAUCCCAA